RNAcentral lists this unclassified non-coding RNA (335 nucleotides) under fungal sp. RNAcentral describes it as "partial internal transcribed spacer region". The stretch from base 1 to 46 matches the Rfam family "Eukaryotic small subunit ribosomal RNA", at positions 1786 to 1831 of the family's 1831-position model. The record is from RNAcentral. Lineage: Eukaryota; Fungi.
AAGUCGUAACAAGGUAACCGUAGGUGAACCUGCGGUUGGAUCAUUAAUAAAAUCUAAUUGUUAGAGAGAUAAAAUUUUAUUUUAUUCUCUCUUUCAAACAUUUUGUGAACUGUUAUUGUAUUUGGUAGGGCUUAUAGGAUAAUUAUUUAUUUAAUUAUCUGGAUCUAUGUAAAAAUAGUUUUACCUACCGCUUUAUUUAAACAUUUAUUUAUUUAAUUACAAGUCUUUAGAAAAGUAAAAAUUUUGUUUUAACAAUAUUUUUAAAAAUUAUUUAAAAUUAUAAAACAACUUUUGACAACGGAUCUCUAGGCUCUCACAACGAUGAAGAAUGCAGC